This 851-nucleotide ribosomal RNA is filed under the name Hysterothylacium aduncum. Its description in RNAcentral is "SSU rRNA". It matches the Rfam family "Eukaryotic small subunit ribosomal RNA", at positions 147 to 1004 of the family's 1831-position model. The record is from RNAcentral. Lineage: Eukaryota; Metazoa; Nematoda; Chromadorea; Rhabditida; Raphidascarididae.
CUGUGGUAAUUCUAGAGCUAAUACAUGCACCAAAGCUCCGAAUUUUUGACGAGCGCAUCUAUUAGAUUAAAACCAAUCGGGUUUCGGCCCGUUUGUUGGUGACUCUGAAUAACUAUGGCUGAUCGCAUGGUCUAGAACCGGCGACGUGUCUAUCAAGUGUCUGCCUUAUCAACUGUCGAUGGUAGUUUAUGUGCCUACCAUGGUUGUAACGGGUAACGGAGAAUAAGGGUUCGACUCCGGAGAGGGAGCCUGAGAAACGGCUACCACAUCCAAGGAAGGCAGCAGGCGCGCAAAUUACCCACUCUCGGCAUGAGGAGGUAGUGACGAAAAAUAACGAGACCGUUCUCUAUGAGGCCGGUUAUCGGAAUGGGUACAAUUUAAACCCGUUAACGAGGAUCUAUGAGAGGGCAAGUCUGGUGCCAGCAGCCGCGGUAAUUCCAGCUCUCAAAGUGUAUAUCGUCAUUGCUGCGGUUAAAAAGCUCGUAGUUGGAUCUGCGCCUCAGGACCUGGUCCGCCCACUGGGUGAGAACUGGGCUCCUGGGCUAGUUCUGCUGGUUUUCCCUGCGUUGCCUUCAUCGGUAGCGUAGGGUGGCUAGCGAGUUUACUUUGAAAAAAUUAGAGUGCUUCACGCGGGCUUAUGUCUGAAUACUCGUGCAUGGAAUAAUAGAAUAGGAUCUCGGCUCUAUUUUGUUGGUUUUCUGAUCUGAGAUAAUGGUUAAGAGGGACGGACGGGGGCAUUCGUAUCGCUGCGUGAGAGGUGAAAUUCUUGGACCGUAGCGAGACGUCCGACUGCGAAAGCAUUUGCCAAGAAUGUCUUCAUUAAUCAAGAACGAAAGUCAGAGGUUCGAAGG